This 554-nucleotide ribosomal RNA is filed under the name Colletotrichum gloeosporioides. RNAcentral's name for it is "eukaryotic LSU rRNA". The stretch from base 182 to 335 matches the Rfam family "5.8S ribosomal RNA". Lineage: Eukaryota; Fungi; Ascomycota; Sordariomycetes; Glomerellales; Glomerellaceae. The record is from RNAcentral.
UGGGGGUUCCUGGAAGUUUCGGCUCUAUACCCUUUGUGACAUACCUAUAACUGUUGCUUCGGCGGGUAGGGUCUCCGCGACCCUCCCGGCCUCCCGCCUCCGGGCGGGUCGGCGCCCGCCGGAGGAUAACCAAACUCUGAUUUAACGACGUUUCUUCUGAGUGGUACAAGCAAAUAAUCAAAACUUUUAACAACGGAUCUCUUGGUUCUGGCAUCGAUGAAGAACGCAGCGAAAUGCGAUAAGUAAUGUGAAUUGCAGAAUUCAGUGAAUCAUCGAAUCUUUGAACGCACAUUGCGCCCGCCAGCAUUCUGGCGGGCAUGCCUGUUCGAGCGUCAUUUCAACCCUCAAGCUCUGCUUGGUGUUGGGGCCCUACAGCUGAUGUAGGCCCUCAAAGGUAGUGGCGGACCCUCCCGGAGCCUCCUUUGCGUAGUAACUUUACGUCUCGCACUGGGAUCCGGAGGGACUCUUGCCGUAAAACCCCCCAAUUUUCCAAAGGUUGACCUCGGAUCAGGUAGGAAUACCCGCUGAACUUAAGCAUAUCAAUAAGCGGAGGA